RNAcentral lists this ribosomal RNA (253 nucleotides) under Faecalibacterium prausnitzii. Its description in RNAcentral is "partial 16S ribosomal RNA". It matches the Rfam family "Bacterial small subunit ribosomal RNA", at positions 524 to 776 of the family's 1533-position model. The record is from RNAcentral. Lineage: Bacteria; Bacillati; Bacillota; Clostridia; Eubacteriales; Oscillospiraceae.
AACGUAGGUAACAAGCGUUGUCCGGAAUUACUGGGUGUAAAGGGAGCGCAGGCGGGAAGACAAGUUGGAAGUGAAAUCUAUGGGCUCAACCCAUAAACUGCUUUCAAAACUGUUUUUCUUGAGUAGUGCAGAGGUAGGCGGAAUUCCCGGUGUAGCGGUGAAAUGCUUAGAUAUCACGAAGAACUCCGAUUGCGAAGGCAGCUCACUGGAGCGCAACUGACGCUGAAGCUCGAAAGUGCGGGUAUCGAACAGG